Megalobrama amblycephala (Wuchang bream) is the source of this 1745-nucleotide long non-coding RNA. RefSeq lists it as uncharacterized. The transcript has 2 exons. NCBI's taxonomy places the organism in Eukaryota, Metazoa, Chordata, Actinopteri, Cypriniformes, Xenocyprididae. The record is from RefSeq and is a predicted model, not a curated record.
CCCGCUUUUAUAAGAAAAUGUAAGUGAUCGCGUCGGCGCCUCACGCACACACAACAUUAUUUUUUUAUGACUGAGCACUGUUCUUAAUUCACUUACCCAGCAACAUCACCUAAAAUAUAAAUAAAGCUUAAAUAUAAUAAUUCAAUUUAUUGCAUUAGGCAAAUCGAAUGCAAGCACAUGAGAACAAAUAAAUAAGUCUAGGCCUGCUAAUAAUAAUUAAUGCAACACAUCUCAAACGAGCGUGUAUAACCAUGCAAUAUAUUUGUUUAUUUCGUUGUGCUAACCUUAAGGUUUUUUUUAUGCCAUUGCAGCACUUUUCCAUUAUUUUUUCUAAGUAAACAUGCGCGUAAAAAACAAAACAAACCAAAAAACAAAAACAUGUUUGACCGUUGAGCUCGUCUGUUAUUUUAUUUGUUUAGCUGCUUCAAGCCAAGCGCGCACUUGCAGUGUUACUAUCGCCACUUAUAUGCAUUUUUGGGCGUGUUAUUUUAUUAUUAUUAUUAUUAUUAUUAUUAUUAUUAUUAUUAUUAGCGUAUUAUUAUUAUUAUUAUUAUUAUUAUUAUUAUUAUUAUUAUCCAUAUUAAGAAGUGAAAGUUCAGCUGGAAUGGCCGGUGUGUCCUUUAAACGGAGAAAAGUCAGCAAAUACGGUGCUUGCGCAACAGAGGUGGCCGGAGGAAUGGCUAAGCUUCAUUCAGGGAGACAGAUUUGUAAUGCUUCCUACAAUUACGAACAUUUACACCUUAAUUAAAGCUUCCUUUGGACAAAAUAAGAAUAAAGCUAAAAUAUUAUUAUCCACACAUACAUUAUCCAGACGCUAGUCCACACGUACGUUAUCCAGGCGUUUAUCCACACUCACGUUAUCCAGACGUUUAUCCACACGUACGUUAUCCAGACGCAAAGUAAAAAAUAAACUUUCUCAACUACGUCGCCGCCAUCGCCGCCGCGCACUUUGAGCGCAGCUCCAACACGUGACCGUGACGUCUAACGUCUCAUAUCUGACGUCUGACGCCUGAAUACUAUGGGAUUUUGGCCAGACGGCUGGCGUGCGUAUACACGUUAGUUCUCCUCUCAGUUUGCUUAGCAAUCAUCACAUUUUGUUGAAGUCACCCCUCAUACAUUUUGGCUUCAGUUCAAUACAAUGGAAGGAAGCGGCGUCGCGUCGUCCAUCUUUUUUUUACAGUCUAUGGUAUGAAUGUGCAGCGAGAGUCAAUCCCGUAUUCUCUUAUUAGUAACCAUGACGACAGUGACCAACGUAAUAUUAAAGAUGGCGAAGUCCAUAAGACUGAAAAGUAUUAUCACUUUUCACAUGACAAGAGACUAACUGAACCACGAGUUCAUCCAUCAAAACUUCAUUAACCAACAGCAGUAUGUAAACACACGCUAGCCAGAGUCUUUAACCGCUGCACACGCGUGUCACGUCCUUUGCGACAUCUCGCGCAUGACACGCAAUUUGAAAAGAAACACAAAACUGAGAUGAGCCGCUCCGGUGGAGAACAGACUGGAUCUAACACCUUAAGAUGACGCACAGCUCACAUCUCUGUCGCAUUGCGUACUGGAUCUCCUCAGUAUCUCUGGAUUCAGGAGUUUUUCCUCUGAAUCUCUUUGGUUUCACACUGGCAUACGGAGCAUCAUUGGCUGAAUCCGGUUCAGAAAGAGGCUCGUCAUGGACUGAAACUCUUCGAGAUGCGUCAGAAUAGAGAUCAUUCUGAAAUACAAGAAAAUAAUUAAUGAAGACAAAUCCCAAG